GCCCUUGAAUUAUAGAUGUUGUGUGGUCUGAGUAAGGUGUCAAAUGCCUUUGAUCCCAGCACUGGAGAGGAAAAUGCAAAUGGAUCUCUGUGAGUUUGAGGCCAGCCUGGUCUACACAGAAUGUUCCAGAUCAGACAAAGCUACUUAGUGAGACAUCUCCAAAGCAAGCAAACAAACAAACAAAAACAAAAAACAACAAGAGAGUGCAGAUAAUAGGGAAAUAUAGCAAAAUGCCAAAUAACUAAAUUUUGGCCUUUGUCAUUGUUUUUAAAAUCUAAACUUAGAAAAAAAGAUACUGAAGUGGAAACUUCUGGGUUUUUUUGGAAAGUCAUAUCAAAAGUGUUUUUCUGGAGUAGACACAGGUGAAAGGAUGUUUUGCUAAAGGAAACACGUGAAAGGUCUCAUGGUGGAUUCUUUGCUAACAACACACAUGUAUUGGUUUGCUUUACAGAAUUGCUGAGCUCCACUUGUUGUGACUUCAUAGAAAAAAAUACACCCAAAACCCUCUGGUGCUGCUCUGGCGGCCUCUCGACAAUCCCACGGACUCGGGCGGAUUGGCAGAGUGAUGUCAGCUGUUACAGAUUCAUGUGGAGUCUUGCUAAGACUCUCACUCCCUUGUCCAUCAGUAGUUGCUCUCCUUCAUCAGCCAUUGGUCUCUAGUACACACAAGGGUAGGAUGAACUGAAUUUUUUCCCUUUCCUUACCAAAUGACAAGAUUCUCUCUCGGUAUGACAAGGUGACCAAUCUAGGCUUAAAUCUCAUGUUGAAAUCCUGGGUUGAAGCUCAAGAGCAAGUUUUAAUUCAUUGUAGUUAUUGUGGAGGAGCUCAAACUGUCCCACUUCUGUUUGGUGUCUUGGCACCCUUGACAAAGCCUCGUCACAUACAGUAGCUUCUUUCUGAAACCAGACCUUGAAGGAUCAUCUAUCUAUCUGUCACUUCU
This 940-nucleotide long non-coding RNA is filed under the name Mus musculus (house mouse). RNAcentral describes it as "long non-coding RNA chr18:6014771-6015711". Lineage: Eukaryota; Metazoa; Chordata; Mammalia; Rodentia; Muridae. The record is from RNAcentral.